AAAGACACCCCCGUGAUGGCUAACUCGUUAGCUUUUAGCAGCAAAAAUCGGUUUCCCGGUUUCAAAGAGGUGCGACUCGUCCCGGGGAAACACGACAUCUCCUUCGUGGAGUUUGAGAGCGAGACGCAGGCGGGCGUGGCUAAAGACGCACUGCAAGGCUGCCGAAUCACAGCCACCUGCGCCA
This is a long non-coding RNA of Sander lucioperca (pikeperch), 184 nucleotides long. RefSeq lists it as uncharacterized. The transcript has 2 exons. Lineage: Eukaryota; Metazoa; Chordata; Actinopteri; Perciformes; Percidae. The record is from RefSeq and is a predicted model, not a curated record.